GGAUGCGAUCAUACCAGCACUAAAGCACCGGAUCCUAUGAGAACUCCGAAGUUAAGCGUGCUUGGGCGAGAGUAGUACUAGGAUGGGUGACCUCCUGGGAUGUCCUCGUGUUGCAUUCC
This 119-nucleotide ribosomal RNA is filed under the name Triticum aestivum (bread wheat). The record is from RNAcentral. Lineage: Eukaryota; Viridiplantae; Streptophyta; Magnoliopsida; Poales; Poaceae.